Molecule: long non-coding RNA, 204 nt
Filed under: Elaeis guineensis (African oil palm)
Lineage: Eukaryota; Viridiplantae; Streptophyta; Magnoliopsida; Arecales; Arecaceae
Description: long non-coding RNA (EGUI_LNC046378)
Source: RNAcentral
CGCCGGACACAACUCUGAUCUGUGAGGACUUUGUCUUGUAGGUGCUCUUCACUAGCGACAGGCGACAGGAAGUUGGCCGCAACAAUGGUUAAUUGCUUAUUUGAUAAAGAGGAAUAAAAGCUCUGAAAUUCCUAUUUGUAUUUCUUUGGUGAUGCAGUAGCAUUUGUUCUUAGCAAUGACUUACUGAUUUUUCAUAAUACAUAU